RNAcentral lists this long non-coding RNA (246 nucleotides) under Capsella rubella. RNAcentral's name for it is "long non-coding RNA (CRUB_LNC001732)". Lineage: Eukaryota; Viridiplantae; Streptophyta; Magnoliopsida; Brassicales; Brassicaceae. The record is from RNAcentral.
AAAAAUAUUAUAUAAAAUAUGAUUAGUCAAAAUAAACUAAACAUAUUCAAUUUUUUCCAAGAAAUUUGAAAAUAUCACUUCAAAUGAAAACAAUUUUUUGGGAUAAAAUUCACUUAAAGUAAAAAAUAAAAAUAUAAAUUAUUUUUCCACGCACAAAAAAAAAUAUAUAUAAUCUAUAUAUUGAAAAAUCAAUUCAUAAUAUACUGUACAAAGUUUUCAAGACCAAAGGCUUCUUAAAUAUAGCAC